GGCGGAAGUGUUAGUUUGGUGGUGAGGGAGUCCUCCUGAGGAGAGAACACGGAGAGGAACCAGUGCUGGAGAGUCCUGGCCUGUAGCCUGGCAUUGGGGAGGACAUGGGUGGUGGAAGCCAUGUGCCCUAGCAGGCAUUGCACCGUACGUGCUGACUAGAUAGGGUGGCAGAGAAGGUGUGUUGAUAAGUCCAGGAUCGCCUGGGUUCUGCGUUGAGGGAGGAAAAUUUUGGGUUGCACUGAGUCGAAGAGGAUUCCCAAAAAUUCUAUGGUUUUGGAGGGCGUGAGCUUCAAUUUGUCGUACUUCACCCGUAGGCCCAGAUCGGAGAGGAGGGUGAUGGCCACGUGAAAGUCUCUGAGGAGGGAUUGUUGGUCGUGAGCCACCACGAGCCAAUCGUCGAGGAACGGAAAUAUCUGAAUACUUUGUUGUUGCAGGGCUGCCACCACUGGGGCCAUGCAUUUGGUGAACACCCGGGGUGCAGAUGCCAGUCUGAAAGGAAGGGCGCAAAAUUGGGAGGAGCCAUCGAAGAGCAGAUCCUCAACUCUGGAUCUGGCAUCUGGCAUGAGACCAGAAGAUCUAAGCCAGGCGUGGUGGUGAAAGGCAAUGGAGGUUGCCAUUACUUUGGCGGCCCCUUCAGUGGAAUGGCGAAUUGCAUGCAGUCAUUGUUCAGAGACCUGCGUGGCCUCCCGGAGGAAGACCUUAGCUGGAGCCUGUUGAUCUGCGGGGAGAUGGUCCAAGAAUGGAGCAACAUGGUCCCAGAGAAAGGAUUGAUACUUGGCAUAGUACGCCUGGUAAUUAGUGAUUCUAGUCAAUAAAGAAGCGAUUGAAUAUAA
This is a long non-coding RNA of Hemicordylus capensis (graceful crag lizard), 833 nucleotides long. RefSeq lists it as uncharacterized. The record is from RefSeq and is a predicted model, not a curated record. The transcript is spliced from 2 exons. Lineage: Eukaryota; Metazoa; Chordata; Lepidosauria; Squamata; Cordylidae.